RNAcentral lists this ribosomal RNA (429 nucleotides) under Bacteroidota bacterium. RNAcentral's name for it is "Bacteroidetes bacterium partial 16S ribosomal RNA". It matches the Rfam family "Bacterial small subunit ribosomal RNA", at positions 355 to 776 of the family's 1533-position model. The record is from RNAcentral. Lineage: Bacteria; Pseudomonadati; Bacteroidota.
UAGGGAAUCUUCGGCAAUGGGGGGAACCCUGACCGAGCAACGCCGCGCGAGUGAAGAAGGUUUUCGGAUCGUAAAGCUCUGUUGUUAAGGAAGAACGAGUGUGAGAAUGGAAAGUUCAUACUGUGACGGUACUUAACCAGAAAGGGACGGCUAACUACGUGCCAGCAGCCGCGGUAAUACGUAGGUCCCGAGCGUUGUCCGGAUUUAUUGGGCGUAAAGCGAGCGCAGGCGGUUAGAUAAGUCUGAAGUUAAAGGCAGUGGCUCAACCAUUGUAGGCUUUGGAAACUGUUUAACUUGAGUGCAGAAGGGGAGAGUGGAAUUCCAUGUGUAGCGGUGAAAUGCGUAGAUAUAUGGAGGAACACCGGUGGCGAAAGCGGCUCUCUGGUCUGUAACUGACGCUGAGGCUCGAAAGCGUGGGGAGCAAACAGG